RNAcentral lists this ribosomal RNA (532 nucleotides) under Eurema blanda (three-spot grass yellow). Its description in RNAcentral is "partial 16S ribosomal RNA". The stretch from base 396 to 532 matches the Rfam family "Bacterial large subunit ribosomal RNA", at positions 2473 to 2609 of the family's 2925-position model. The record is from RNAcentral. Lineage: Eukaryota; Metazoa; Arthropoda; Insecta; Lepidoptera; Pieridae.
AAAAAACAUGUCUUUUUGAAAAUAAUAAAAAGUCUAAUCUGCCCACUGAAUUUAUUUAAAGGGCUGCAGUAUAUUGACUGUACAAAGGUAGCAUAAUCAAUAGUCUUUUAAUUGAAGACUUGUAUGAAUGAUUUGAUGAAAUAUAAACUGUCUCUUUAUUAAAAAUAAAAUUUAAUUUUUUAGUUAAAAAGCUAAAAUAAUUAUAAAAGACGAGAAGACCCUAUAGAGUUUUAUAAUUAUUGUAAUUUGAUAAUUUUUUAUAUAAAUUAAAUUUUAAUUUAAAUAAUUAUUUUAUUGGGGUGAUAGAAAAAUUAAAUGAACUUUUUUUAAUUUAAAACAUUAAUUUAUGAUAUUAUGAUCCAUAAUUUAUGAUUAAAAGAAUUAAUUACCUUAGGGAUAACAGCGUAAUUUUUUUUUUUAGUACAAAUAAAAAAAAGAGUUUGCGACCUCGAUGUUGGAUUAAGAUAAAAUUUAAAUGCAAAAGUUUAAAAUUUUUGAUCUGUUCGAUCAUUAAAAUCUUACAUGAUCUGAG